CUCAGUUCGGAUUGUAGUCUGCAACUCGACUACAUGAAGCUGGAAUCGCUAGUAAUCGCGAAUCAGAAUGUCGCGGUGAAUACGUUCCCGGGUCUUGUACACACCGCCCGUCACACCACGGAAGUUGGGGGCGCCCGAAGCCACUUAGCUAACCCUUUUGGGAAGCGAGUGUCGAAGGUGAAAUCAAUAACUGGGGUGAAGUCGUAACAAGGUAGC
RNAcentral lists this ribosomal RNA (216 nucleotides) under uncultured bacterium. RNAcentral describes it as "partial 16S ribosomal RNA". It matches the Rfam family "Bacterial small subunit ribosomal RNA", at positions 1287 to 1500 of the family's 1533-position model. The record is from RNAcentral.